Molecule: long non-coding RNA, 223 nt
Organism: Hibiscus syriacus
Lineage: Eukaryota; Viridiplantae; Streptophyta; Magnoliopsida; Malvales; Malvaceae
Exons: 3
Source: RefSeq, a predicted model, not a curated record
GGUGGCCACUCUUCCACCGUUUGGUCACUUGAUUUUAAUGCUAAGGGAGACAAAUUGGUAACUUGUAGUGAUGAUCUUACCCUGAAGAUAUGGGAAACAGACAUCACAAGGAUGCAGUCUAGAGAAGGUUAUGCACCCUGGAAUCAUCUUUGCACUCUUUCUGGUUAUCAUGAUCGAACGAUCUUUCCAGUUCACUGGUCAAGAUAUUGACACCAUUUUGUUA